This 468-nucleotide ribosomal RNA is filed under the name uncultured bacterium. Its description in RNAcentral is "partial 16S ribosomal RNA". It matches the Rfam family "Bacterial small subunit ribosomal RNA", at positions 28 to 507 of the family's 1533-position model. The record is from RNAcentral.
GAUGAACGCUGGCGGCGUGCUUAACACAUGCAAGUCGAACGGUGAAGGCGGAGCUUGCUCUGCUGGAUCAGUGGCGAACGGGUGAGUAACACGUGAGCAAUCUGCCCCUGACUCUGGGAUAAGCGCUGGAAACGGCGUCUAAUACUGGAUACGAGCUGCGAAGGCAUCUUCAGCAGCUGGAAAGAAUUUCGGUCAGGGAUGAGCUCGCGGCCUAUCAGCUUGUUGGUGAGGUAAUGGCUCACCAAGGCGUCGACGGGUAGCCGGCCUGAGAGGGUGACCGGCCACACUGGGACUGAGACACGGCCCAGACUCCUACGGGAGGCAGCAGUGGGGAAUAUUGCACAAUGGGCGACAGCCUGAUGCAGCAACGCCGCGUGAGGGACGACGGCCUUCGGGUUGUAAACCUCUUUUAGCAGGGAAGAAGCGAAAGUGACGGUACCUGCAGAAAAAGCGCCGGCUAACUACGUG